This 770-nucleotide ribosomal RNA is filed under the name uncultured bacterium. RNAcentral describes it as "bacterial SSU rRNA". It matches the Rfam family "Bacterial small subunit ribosomal RNA", at positions 50 to 838 of the family's 1533-position model. The record is from RNAcentral.
CAAAGAAGCAGCCAGCUUGCUGGAAGCGGAAAAGGGAAAGGCUUAGUGGCGGACGGGUGAGUAACGCGUGGGUAACCUGGCCCAUACAGGGGGAUAACACUUAGAAAUAGGUGCUAAUACCGCAUAACAACAGAAAGCGCAUGCUUUUUGUUUGAAAACCAAGGUGGUAUGGGAUGGACCCGCGUCUGAUUAGCUGGUUGGCGGGGUAAAGGCCCACCAAGGCGACGAUCAGUAGCCGGCCUGAGAGGGUGGACGGCCACAUUGGGACUGAGACACGGCCCAAACUCCUACGGGAGGCAGCAGUGGGGAAUAUUGCACAAUGGGGGAAACCCUGAUGCAGCGACGCCGCGUGAGUGAAGAAGUAAUUCGUUAUGUAAAGCUCUAUCAGCAGGGAAGAAAAUGACGGUACCUGAGUAAGAAGCCCCGGCUAACUACGUGCCAGCAGCCGCGGUAAUACGUAGGGGGCAAGCGUUAUCCGGAUUUACUGGGUGUAAAGGGAGCGUAGACGGCAGUGCAAGUCUGGAGUGAAAGGCGGGGGCUCAACCCCCGGACUGCUCUGGAAACUGUACGGCUGGAGUGCAGGAGAGGUAAGUGGAAUUCCUAGUGUAGCGGUGAAAUGCGUAGAUAUUAGGAGGAACACCAGUGGCGAAGGCGGCUUACUGGACUGUAACUGACGUUGAGGCUCGAAAGCGUGNGGAGCAAACAGGAUUAGAUACCCUGGUAGUCCACGCNGUAAACGAUGAUCACUAGGUGUCGGGGGUUAAAGAACC